Molecule: ribosomal RNA, 330 nt
Filed under: uncultured bacterium
Lineage: Bacteria
Description: bacterial SSU rRNA
Rfam family: Bacterial small subunit ribosomal RNA
Source: RNAcentral
GAUGAACGCUAGCGGCAGGCCUAACACAUGCAAGUCGAGGGGCAGCACGUCUUCGGAUGGUGGCGACCGGCGCACGGGUGCGUAACGCGUAUGCAACCUACCUCUUACAGUGGGAUAGCCCAGAGAAAUUUGGAUUAAUACCGCAUAGUAUGCGACAUCAGCAUUGAUGACGUAUUAAACAUUCAUGGGUAAGAGAUGGGCAUGCGUUCUAUUAGUAGUUGGAGUGGUAACGGCACCCCAGACAGCGAUAGAUAGGGCCCGUGAGAGGGGAGUCCCCACCACUGGUACUGAGACACGGACCAGACUCCUACGGGAGGCAGCAGUGAGGAA